UACGUAGGGGGCAAGCGUUGUCCGGAAUCAUUGGGCGUAAAGAGCGUGUAGGCGGCCCGGUAAGUCCGCUGUGAAAGUCGGGGGCUCAACCCUCGAAUGCCGGUGGAUACUGUCGGGCUAGAGUGCGGGAGAGGCGAGUGGAAUUCCUGGUGUAGCGGUGAAAUGCGCAGAUAUCAGGAGGAACACCGAUUGCGAAGGCAGCUCGCUGGAACGUAACUGACGCUGAGACGCGAAAGCGUGGGGAGCAAACAGG
Molecule: ribosomal RNA, 253 nt
Filed under: uncultured bacterium
Lineage: Bacteria
Description: partial 16S ribosomal RNA
Rfam family: Bacterial small subunit ribosomal RNA
Source: RNAcentral